RNAcentral lists this long non-coding RNA (2873 nucleotides) under Zostera marina. RNAcentral describes it as "long non-coding RNA (ZMAR_LNC000758)". The record is from RNAcentral. Lineage: Eukaryota; Viridiplantae; Streptophyta; Magnoliopsida; Alismatales; Zosteraceae.
GUUUUCACUCUACAUUUGAGCUCUCACUUUUUUGUCUCCAAGCUUCCAAGCUUUCAAGUGCUCAAGUAUCCUAGCUUUCCAAAAGAUUCAAAAGCUCUUCAACUUCUUCUUCUAAUCUUCUUGUUCAUCUCUACAAGUAAAAAGUGUUGUUUUCUUAAAUAUUCCACUCCUCUAAUCACCUCUUGUGUGUGUCCACUUUGGUUGAGAAGGUUGUCUUAAUAGUACCAAAGUGUGAGAGAAGGUUUUUGAGCUCAACCAUAAAGCUCUAGUUUAGUUUUAUAGAGUUUCCGGAAAAACUCUUAGGUCGAAUCUACCUUGAAAGAUUUUUAGGUUUUUAAGAGUUCCUUGAUACUCUAAAGUGUGAGUCUACCCGUAAAAGACUGGUUUCUAAGCGAAGUUAGCCUUAAAGCUUAGAGAGGUUUUUAAGAGUUCCUUUGAUACUCUAAGGUGUGAGUCUACCCGUAAAAGACUGAUUCCUAAGCGAAGUUAGCUUUAAAGUUUAGAGAGGUUUUUAAGAGUUUUCUUGAUACUUUAAGGUUUUGCCAUUAUCUUUAGGCUAGUGAAUUCCGACAGUUGGUCGGGACUGGAUUAGCCCUUGUUUGGGUGAACCAGUAUAAAUUCUCUUGUGUUGUUCUUUGUUAACUUUUGUUUUUAUCUUUCAUCUAAAAACAACUAAACAACACUUAAUUGAAAAGGAUCCCUCUUCCAGUUAUCUGGUCGAAUACAGAGGUUGACUACUUUACGCAGAUCCCUCAUCCAGUUAUCUGGUCAACUAUCUGAGGUUAUAAUCAUUGUAUUAAAUCUUUAUUCAAAUAUUUGUUUAAGCAUUUACUUAUCAAAUAUAUAUUCAGUUAUCUGGUCAUUUCUUUAUAACUUGCUUAUCAGAUAUAUAUCCAGUUAUCUGGUCAUUUACUCUAUAAUAUAACUUGUGCUUACAAUAUAACUUAGUAUUUAUAUACUAUAGUUGUUUGUGAAGCACUAUCUAAAAGUUGACUCUGUAUUCAUAUAAUGUAGUAAACUUCGAGAAAAAGCAAGUCCAAUAUAUAAUAUUAUAAGAUAUAAUAUUACAUUCCUUAAAAUCAUAUAAUAGUAUUAUAUUGUUAACAAUAUUUAUACUAUUAUUAUUAUACAACCAUUUGUGUAUAUAAGUGUGUGCAGUUAAUUCUGCUGUUAAUCUACACAAAUCGAAAAGAGGCUAUUAUCCGGAGCUUCGGAUCACGAUCCAACAGUGUUCUCCGGAGGAAGCGGAGUGGCCAUGGACGGAAAAGAAAUAUCCGCCGCUAGAUUGUUAAACAGUGGAUUUGUGGUCACAUUCUCUUGGACUAUCAGUUUCUCUGGUACUAUAUCAGACUUGGCUGACAUCAAGGAGAAUGACGAAGAUGUCGUAGUCAUGGAGGAUGAAGGUGAGCAGACCAUGAGAUAUGAAUUUAGUGAAGAACUAUAGAGAUCGAGGAGGAGUGUGCACAGAGACGCCACUAGGGUUAGGGAGAUGGACGAUCGCGAGUGAAGGGAGAGGAGUCGAUUGGGAAGAACCCAAGGGUUUUGAAUUUUUGUAUUGGAAAAUGUCUAGAAUAAAAUAUUACAACUUUCCUAUAUAUACUAAGUGACUAAACCCUAAUUAACUUAAUGGGCCAACAUCAGAGUUGGGCCUGACCUAGCUUAAACACUAAUACACUUAACUUAACUUUAAAAACAGAUUCGAUAAUUACUCUCAAUACCCCCCCUCAAGCUGGAGAGUGUAUGUCAUAGAGUCCCAGCUUGGGUAAUAGAUUGCGCAAUGAUUUAAGACUUGCUGGUUUUGUUAAAAUAUAUGCCACUUGAGAUGUUGUUGAAACAUGCUGUAAUUUAAAUAGUCCAGCUUGAAGAUGAUCACAAAUUAAAUGAUAAUCAAUCUCUAUAUGUUUGGUGCGUUCAUGAAAGACUGAAUUUGAUGCAAUGUGUAUUGCACAUUGUUUCUCUUGAUGGCUUGACCUGUAGAUCAUUUAAAAAAUAAUGCAGCUACAUUAUCUUACAUACAGUUGAUGCCAUUGCCCUAUAUUCACUUUUAGCAGAUGACCUGCUUAUUGUUGUUUGUUUCUUAGAUUUCCAUGUUAUGGCUGAGCCACCUAACAAAAUUGUGUAUCCUGUGAUUGACCUCCUAGUUUUGGGGCAAUCAGCCCAAUCUGCAUCACAAUAAGCUUCUAAUUGUAAGGGUUCAUCCCUUUUAUAUAAGAUACCUUUGCCUGGAGGUCCUUUGAUGUAUUUCAAUAUCUUCAUGGCAGAGUUGAAGUGUGAUUGCUUGGGAUCUGCCAAAAAUUGACUAUAUAUGAUGACUAAUAGAAAAAGAUAUAUCAGGUCUUGUUAUUGUAAGGUAUAAUAGUUUCCCAAUUAGCUUUCUAUAGAUUGAUGGAUCUUUUAGUGGGGCAUCAUUCUCAGAGUUUUUGUAGUUGUGAGACAUUGGGAUUUUGGAUGGAGAGGAUCCCAAUUGUCCAAAAUCAUGUAGAAUAUCAAGGGCAUAUUUCCUUUGUGAUAGAAAAAUACCUAAGUUGGAUUGAGACAUCUCAAUUCCUAUAAAGUAUUUGAGUUUGCCCAAAUCCUUUAUAUGGAAUUGAAGGUGUAGAUAUUCUUUCAGUUUCUGAAUUUCAGCUUCAUUAUCAGCUAAUAUGAUUAGGUCAUCCACAUAGAUAAAAGUAGGCAGGUAUAUGAGUUUGAGUUUGAUUUAAAAAAUAAUGUAUAAUCAGAAUGAGAUUGUGUAUACCCAAAUUUAGUUAAAGCUGAAGUGAGUUUUUCAUACCAGUUUCAUAGGGAUUUCUUUAAUUUGCGAACUCUGGUGUCAUCUGAUGAUAGCAUCCCUGGAGGUGGAGACAUGUAUAUCUCCUCAGAUAAAUCACCAU